This 73-nucleotide transfer RNA is filed under the name bacterium. RNAcentral describes it as "tRNA-Glu". It matches the Rfam family "tRNA". From Rfam's summary of the family: Transfer RNA (tRNA) molecules are approximately 80 nucleotides in length. The record is from RNAcentral.
GGCGCUAUCGUCUAGAGGCCUAGGAUAUCACCCUCUCAAGGUGGGGACACGGGUUCGAAUCCCGUUAGCGCCA